UUGCUCUCUCACUCUUUGAAGGACGUUUACAUCUCAGAACAUAGUUGAUGACUCUUCUGAGUACAUUGUCCUGCUCUUGGAGACUGGAGAGUCUAGAAAACGGGAUUGCUACAGACGGGUCUUCAGAAGGAAGCUGGAGUGAUGUUGGACUGG
Molecule: long non-coding RNA, 153 nt
Organism: Sinocyclocheilus rhinocerous
Lineage: Eukaryota; Metazoa; Chordata; Actinopteri; Cypriniformes; Cyprinidae
Exons: 2
Source: RefSeq, a predicted model, not a curated record